GCCAGGCAUGGAGGUGCAUACCUGUAAUCUCAGCAACUUGGGAGGCAGGAGUAUCUCAAGUUUGAGGCCAGCAACUUAGCAAGAUUCUCAUCAAUUUACAGAGACACUCUUU
Molecule: small RNA, 112 nt
Filed under: Marmota monax (woodchuck)
Lineage: Eukaryota; Metazoa; Chordata; Mammalia; Rodentia; Sciuridae
Source: RNAcentral